RNAcentral lists this ribosomal RNA (1457 nucleotides) under Staphylococcus aureus. RNAcentral describes it as "partial 23S ribosomal RNA". It matches the Rfam family "Bacterial large subunit ribosomal RNA", at positions 231 to 1688 of the family's 2925-position model. The record is from RNAcentral. Lineage: Bacteria; Bacillati; Bacillota; Bacilli; Caryophanales; Staphylococcaceae.
UCGAUUCCCUUAGUAGCGGCGAGCGAAACGGGAAGAGCCCAAACCAACAAGCUUGCUUGUUGGGGUUGUAGGACACUCUAUACGGAGUUACAAAGGACGACAUUAGACGAAUCAUCUGGAAAGAUGAAUCAAAGAAGGUAAUAAUCCUGUAGUCGAAAAUGUUGUCUCUCUUGAGUGGAUCCUGAGUACGACGGAGCACGUGAAAUUCCGUCGGAAUCUGGGAGGACCAUCUCCUAAGGCUAAAUACUCUCUAGUGACCGAUAGUGAACCAGUACCGUGAGGGAAAGGUGAAAAGCACCCCGGAAGGGGAGUGAAAUAGAACCUGAAACCGUGUGCUUACAAGUAGUCAGAGCCCGUUAAUGGGUGAUGGCGUGCCUUUUGUAGAAUGAACCGGCGAGUUACGAUUUGAUGCAAGGUUAAGCAGUAAAUGUGGAGCCGUAGCGAAAGCGAGUCUGAAUAGGGCGUUUAGUAUUUGGUCGUAGACCCGAAACCAGGUGAUCUACCCUUGGUCAGGUUGAAGUUCAGGUAACACUGAAUGGAGGACCGAACCGACUUACGUUGAAAAGUGAGCGGAUGAACUGAGGGUAGCGGAGAAAUUCCAAUCGAACCUGGAGAUAGCUGGUUCUCUCCGAAAUAGCUUUAGGGCUAGCCUCAAGUGAUGAUUAUUGGAGGUAGAGCACUGUUUGGACGAGGGGCCCCUCUCGGGUUACCGAAUUCAGACAAACUCCGAAUGCCAAUUAAUUUAACUUGGGAGUCAGAACAUGGGUGAUAAGGUCCGUGUUCGAAAGGGAAACAGCCCAGACCACCAGCUAAGGUCCCAAAAUAUAUGUUAAGUGGAAAAGGAUGUGGCGUUGCCCAGACAACUAGGAUGUUGGCUUAGAAGCAGCCAUCAUUUAAAGAGUGCGUAAUAGCUCACUAGUCGAGUGACACUGCGCCGAAAAUGUACCGGGGCUAAACAUAUUACCGAAGCUGUGGAUUGUCCUUUGGACAAUGGUAGGAGAGCGUUCUAAGGGCGUUGAAGCAUGAUCGUAAGGACAUGUGGAGCGCUUAGAAGUGAGAAUGCCGGUGUGAGUAGCGAAAGACGGGUGAGAAUCCCGUCCACCGAUUGACUAAGGUUUCCAGAGGAAGGCUCGUCCGCUCUGGGUUAGUCGGGUCCUAAGCUGAGGCCGACAGGCGUAGGCGAUGGAUAACAGGUUGAUAUUCCUGUACCACCUAUAAUCGUUUUAAUCGAUGGGGGGACGCAGUAGGAUAGGCGAAGCGUGCGAUUGGAUUGCACGUCUAAGCAGUAAGGCUGAGUAUUAGGCAAAUCCGGUACUCGUUAAGGCUGAGCUGUGAUGGGGAGAAGACAUUGUGUCUUCGAGUCGUUGAUUUCACACUGCCGAGAAAAGCCUCUAGAUAGAAAAUAGGUGCCCGUACCGCAAACCGACACAGGUAGUCAAGAUGAGAAUUCUAAGGUG